AGGGGACGUUAGAGGGGGCAUUUGAGGUGACAUUUGACUAAAUGUGCUCUGCCUUAUCUAUUUUAUCUACUCUGGUACCCUGUGGAUCAGCCCGGGUAAAGUAAUCCACUUGACUUCCUUCAGCCACUUUUGCUCAGGUUUCGUUGGAGGUUGAGUGACACCUGUGAGCCUCUUCCACAGCUCUCUCAGGAUGGGCACAGACUGGCAGCAUCUUCAUGGCGGCUAGCAGUGCCAGGGCUGUGGAGCUCACGCAUCCCAGUGCUGACAAUACCACCCUCUGCAGACACAGCCAAACGGCAGGCCCCUCUGGACAUAGCCACCAACUGCUACAGCAAAGUGAAGCCCUCAGGAUGAUAAACCAGCUGCUGGUGGGCGUGGGCCUGUGGUGGGCGUGGGCCUGUGGUGGGCUUGGGCCUGUGGUGGACUUGGGCCUGUGGUGUGGUCGCAUGCUUUUUAAAGUCAGAACCACUAGAUUGAGAGUAGAGCAUAAGUUUCAAACAUUGUAUAACUUAAAAGAGAAUGGACUGUUGUUAAAGACGACCACAUUAGAGCCCUGCUAUGAACUUGUGUUUGAGGUGGUACAAGAGCACUUCUGAUGGUUCCAUCCGCCAUCCCUCUGUCCCUAAAUGUGUCUCCUGCCCCUCCCAGUACUACUUGUCCAGCUCACCCUCUCAGUUUGCCUGUUUAUUAAAGCUACCCUUGCUGCCA
RNAcentral lists this long non-coding RNA (708 nucleotides) under Rattus norvegicus (Norway rat). RNAcentral describes it as "long non-coding RNA NONRATT001288". The record is from RNAcentral. Lineage: Eukaryota; Metazoa; Chordata; Mammalia; Rodentia; Muridae.